Molecule: unclassified non-coding RNA, 336 nt
Filed under: soil metagenome
Description: partial contains 5.8S ribosomal RNA, internal transcribed spacer 2, and large subunit ribosomal RNA
Rfam family: 5.8S ribosomal RNA (bases 1-120)
Source: RNAcentral
GAUGAAGAACGUAGUGAAAUGCGAUAAGUAGUGUGAAUUGCAGAAUUCAGUGAAUCAUCGAAUCUUUGAACGCACAUUGCGCCCCUUGGUAUUCCAUGGGGCAUGCCUGUUCGAGCGUCAUUUGUACCUUCAAGCCUUGCUUGGUGUUGGGUGUUUGUCUCGCCUUUGCGUGUAGACUCGCCUUAAAAUAAUUGGCAGCCGGCGUAUUGAUUUCGGAGCGCAGUACAUCUCGCGCUUUGCACUCAUAACGACAGCGUCCAAAAGUACAUUUUACACUCUUGACCUCGGAUCAGGUAGGGAUACCCGCUGAACUUAAGCAUAUCAAUAAGCGGAGGA